CAAAAGACAAAUAAAUGCAUUUUCCAGAUCAUGGUCAAUCUGUGCAGGCUCCGCAACUGGACUGCUAAGGGAAUGACUUGUAAAUCCCACACCUCCAAAGCCUUCUAUAGGACCUGUAUACUNNNNNNNNNCAUCCAAGGAGACAUUAUGGGAUUCGGCGGUAAGGAAAUAGCCAGUGGAAGCGUCGCCCUGUUGCAUCAUCAGGCGCUCCUUGCAAUCAAGAUCGGAAGCGNNNCAUCAAAUCGAAUUCAGAGAAGAAGGACCCCUGCAACACCGCGUUGACCCAAUGUACGGCGCAAAGUUUAGCCUCUUGCACCUCAUGGUACAACAUCCC
This 334-nucleotide unclassified non-coding RNA is filed under the name Hevea brasiliensis (rubber tree). The record is from RNAcentral. Lineage: Eukaryota; Viridiplantae; Streptophyta; Magnoliopsida; Malpighiales; Euphorbiaceae.